Molecule: ribosomal RNA, 499 nt
Filed under: uncultured bacterium
Lineage: Bacteria
Description: bacterial SSU rRNA
Rfam family: Bacterial small subunit ribosomal RNA
Source: RNAcentral
GAGUUUGAUCCUGGCUCAGAUUGAACGCUGGCGGCAGGCCUAACACAUGCAAGUCGAACGGUAACAGGAAGAAGCUUGCUUCUUUGCUGACGAGUGGCGGACGGGUGAGUAAUGUCUGGGAAACUGCCUGAUGGAGGGGGAUAACUACUGGAAACGGUAGCUAAUACCGCAUAACGUCGCAAGACCAAAGAGGGGGACCUUCGGGCCUCUUGCCAUCGGAUGUGCCCAGAUGGGAUUAGCUAGUAGGUGGGGUAACGGCUCACCUAGGCGACGAUCCCUAGCUGGUCUGAGAGGAUGACCAGCCACACUGGAACUGAGACACGGUCCAGACUCCUACGGGGGGCAGCAGUGGGGAAUAUUGCACAAUGGGCGCAAGCCUGAUGCAGCCAUGCCGCGUGUAUGAAGAAGGCCUUCGGGUUGUAAAGUACUUUCAGCGGGGAGGAAGGGAGUAAAGUUAAUACCUUUGCUCAUUGACGUUACCCGCAGAAGAAGCACCGGC